AUACGUAGGGAGCGAGCGUUGUCCGGAAUUACUGGGCGUAAAGGGCGCGUAGGCGGCGCUUCAAGUCGUCUGUCAAAUGGGAGGGCUUAACCCUUUUUCGCAGACGAAACUGGAGAGCUUGAGAAGCAGAGAGGCAAACAGAAUUCCUGGUGUAGCGGUGAAAUGCGUAGAUAUCAGGAAGAAUACCAGUGGCGAAGGCGGUUUGCUGGCUGCAUACUGACGCUGAAGCGCGAAAGCCAGGGGAGCAAACGGGAUUAGAUACCCCGGUAGUCCUGGCAGUAAACGAUGUAUGCUGGGUGUGAGACUAGCGAUAGUUUCGUGCCGAAGUUAACGCGAUAAGCAUACCGCCUGGGGAGUACGGUCGCAAGAUUGAAACUCAAAUGAAUGGGCGGGG
This 394-nucleotide ribosomal RNA is filed under the name uncultured bacterium. RNAcentral describes it as "partial 16S ribosomal RNA". It matches the Rfam family "Bacterial small subunit ribosomal RNA", at positions 523 to 918 of the family's 1533-position model. The record is from RNAcentral.